UGCCUCCUACGGGAGGCAGCAGUGAGGAAUAUUGGUCAAUGGUCGGGAGACUGAACCAGCCAAGCCGCGUGAGGGAUGAAGGUACAGAGUAUCGUAAACCUCUUUUGUCAGGGAACAAAGGCGGGGACGUGUCCCCGGAUGAGUGUACCUGAAGAAAAAGCAUCGGCUAACUCCGUGCCAGCAGCCGCGGUAAUACGGAGGAUGCGAGAGUUAUCCGGAUUUAUUGGGUUUAAAGGGUGCGCAGGCGGUCUGUUAAGUCAGGGGUCAAAGCCCGGGGCUCAACCCCGGCCCGGCGUUGGAACUGG
Molecule: ribosomal RNA, 305 nt
Filed under: uncultured bacterium
Lineage: Bacteria
Description: bacterial SSU rRNA
Rfam family: Bacterial small subunit ribosomal RNA
Source: RNAcentral